Molecule: long non-coding RNA, 1372 nt
Organism: Homo sapiens (human)
Lineage: Eukaryota; Metazoa; Chordata; Mammalia; Primates; Hominidae
Source: Ensembl
AGCCCCUAACAAUGGCUUCGAUGAAAGAGGAACAAACAAAGAAAAAAAAACUGGGACCAGCCACUGCCCUGGGGAACAGUGGCAGGGUGGAGUGAUCUGAACAUGAGGCAUGAGAAGAACUGAGUGACUACAGUGAUUGGGCUAUAAUAGACUCUGUCACUGGCCCAGCUGUAAUCCCUGGCGCCUGCUGCUUCACUGUGUUCUGCAGGAGUUCCACUGCCCUGAAUCUCUGACUCUGUGCCCGAGGUCUUUUUCUGGAAUUGUGGAAGGUGCUCUGCUAUGUGGGAAACAAGCUGGAAGUUCCGGGAAUCACACUUCCCAGAAGCUACACCCAACCAGUGAUUGACAGGAGUUGAAGUAAAAACAUCAUGGCUUUCUUACCCCUUAAGUGGAAUAUUUUAUACUAUUUUUCAGAAUUUCCCCAAGGAGUUAAGCUGUAAUUGCCCAUCACGGCAGCCGGGUUAAUAAGGUAUCUGUAUCUGCCAGAAUUAAAUGAGACGGCAGAAUCACAUAGUAAUUUGAGCAGGAAAAGCUUAAUAUAAGGAAUUAUCAUGUAAUUAUAGAGUUGUUCUAUAAUUAUGUAAUAUUAUAUUCUAAGCUCCUCUUAUACAAUAUAGGAGAGGAUUUGCAGUAACAAGGGAUUAGAUAGCAAGAUGUAAGAGAACUCUGAAGAAUAUAGGACUAGUGGAUAUAAGGAACAGCCACUACCCCUGGGGCUGAGGUGGAGCACUCCAAGAAUUAAAGAACCUGGAAUAAGAACACCUCACCUCACUCACGGCUCACUGGAUGGUGGACAAGUCCCUGAGUUGUGAUGCUGUAGAACUUUCUGGAAAUUUGCCCUCCAUAUUUUCAAGGGAAGAUGUCAAAGAGAAGUUUCAUCUCUCAGAAAUUAUCUCAAAACCUUCUUGGGGAUUACCAGGGAAAAUUGUCACAGGAGACUCCAUGAGGGGUCAUGUCACUCCUAGGCUGUUCAAGGGAGUUCUGGGGGAAGCUGGGCACUGCUGGUCACAACAGGUUGUAAAAGCUGGGCCCUGGAGAAGCUGUCCGCACUGCAGGAGACUGGGUGCUGCUGGAGUUGCUGGAUGAGCUUAAGGCAUGUGGGGAGAGGAGAACAUUAGAACUAGGAAAUGAAACCUCUCUCUAUUCUACUGUCCCUCCAGCACCCUCUACUGUAAACACUUAGCAUUGUGCCACCUGGCACAGGAGAAGUCUUUACAGGGCCCGUCUAUAACAUAGCAAAGCAGGCAACAAAGGGUGAACUUGGAGUGGCUCACAUGUUGCUCUAUGUUGACUUCUUCCCUUUCCUUUUUCAUUCCCCUACUCCCCUUAUUGGUUUUCCUUAAAUUCUAAAUAAAAUACAGUCAUCCUCAGU